This 819-nucleotide ribosomal RNA is filed under the name Triticum aestivum (bread wheat). Its description in RNAcentral is "partial small subunit ribosomal RNA". Lineage: Eukaryota; Viridiplantae; Streptophyta; Magnoliopsida; Poales; Poaceae. The record is from RNAcentral.
AUGCCUCCUGCUGUUUUGGAGCCCUUGCGGCCUCUCCUUGCAGCUCAGGCGGAGGCGCUCGGCGCUGAGUUACAGGCCUUGUUCGCUGCUCGUCUUGAGGUGCUGUUCAAGCCUCUUCAAGACUUGGUUGCUGCUGUGGAGAGUUGGACUGCUCAAGUCUCAAGCCUAUGGGAACCUAUGGAAGCUAUCGGGGGCAGCCAAGACCUUGCCAAUGUUGAAUCUGCUCCUCCUGCUGUGGCCGUUGGUGAGGAUUGCAGUGCGCUUGUUGUGGCUGGCUGCUCAGCUGAGUUGAGUGAGAAGGUUCAGUCCGUUGAUGAUCCGCCUGCCUUGGAAAAGGUCAUGCUCGAGGAUGAUCCUCCUGACUUGGCUUCUGUCCUACCCGGGAUGUCGACACUGGAGGAGCCGAAGGUUUCCAGUGCUCCUUGCACCGGGAAGCCUUCAAAGGAGCUGAUCCAGAUGGGUGCAGAUGAGCCUCUUGGGAGAGCCUCCUCUCCGUGGGGGGAGUUCCUCAAAGAGCUUGCUCUCACUGUGUCGAGCUCGCCGCAAGUUUUGCAAGUGGAAGAGGCUGCCCCUUCUCUCUUUGAGCGACGAAGCUGCCGUUUGGACAAGAAAAACAAAGAUUGCGGCAUUCCUGUAGCCAAGCGCGCGGAGUAUAGGCGGGCGGAGGCCUUUGGAGAGGUUCCAACACUCAAGAGCAAAGGAAAAGCAUCUGAGGAAGACCUGAAUGAGAAGAUGCAACACUAUCUGCAAAUGUACAAGAAGGAACACACGCCCAAGGUGAUCGAGGCAGUGCGCGCAUUAGUUCAGCCCAAUGCUUGA